Molecule: ribosomal RNA, 255 nt
Filed under: uncultured bacterium
Lineage: Bacteria
Description: partial 16S ribosomal RNA
Rfam family: Bacterial small subunit ribosomal RNA
Source: RNAcentral
UACGGAGGGUGCAAGCGUUAUCCAGAUUCACUGGGUUUAAAGGGUGCGUAGGCGGGCAGGUAAGUCCGUGGUGAAAUCUCUGAGCUUAACUCAGAAACUGCCAUGGAUACUAUCUGUCUUGAAUAUUGUGGAGGUAAGCGGAAUAUGUCAUGUAGCGGUGAAAUGCUUAGAUAUGACAUAGAACACCCAUUGCGAAGGCAGCUUACUACACAAAUUUAUUGACGCUGAGGCACGAAAGCGUGGGGAUCAAACAGG